RNAcentral lists this ribosomal RNA (121 nucleotides) under Musa acuminata subsp. malaccensis (wild Malaysian banana). Lineage: Eukaryota; Viridiplantae; Streptophyta; Magnoliopsida; Zingiberales; Musaceae. The record is from RNAcentral.
GGGUGUGAUAAUGCCAGCACUAAAGCACCGGAUCCCAACAGAACUCCGAAGUUAAGCGCCGACUUUGGAGAGAGUAGUACUAGGAUGGGUGACCACCUGGGAAGUCCUCGUGUUUCUCUCC